Molecule: ribosomal RNA, 468 nt
Filed under: uncultured bacterium
Lineage: Bacteria
Description: partial 16S ribosomal RNA
Rfam family: Bacterial small subunit ribosomal RNA
Source: RNAcentral
GAUGAACGCUGGCGGCGUGCCUAACACAUGCAAGUCGAGCGAUUUACUUCGGUAAAGAGCGGCGGACGGGUGAGUAACGCGUGGGUAACUUGCCCUGUACACACGGAUAACAUACCGAAAGGUAUGCUAAUACGAGAUAAUAUACUUUUAUCGCAUGGUAGAAGUAUCAAAGCUUUUGCGGUACAGGAUGGACCUGCGUCUGAUUAGCUAGUUGGUAAGGUAACGGCUUACCAAGGCGACGAUCAGUAGCCGACCUGAGAGGGUGAUCGGCCACAUUGGAACUGAGACACGGUCCAAACUCCUACGGGAGGCAGCAGUGGGGAAUAUUGCACAAUGGGCGAAAGCCUGAUGCAGCAACGCCGCGUGAGCGAUGAAGGCCUUCGGGUCGUAAAGCUCUGUCCUCAAGGAAGAUAAUGACGGUACUUGAGGAGGAAGCCCCGGCUAACUACGUGCCAGCCGCCGCAGUAA